UGGUCAAGUUAUUAAGGGUGCAGGGCGGAUGCCUUGGCACUAGGAGCCGAUGAAGGACGUGAUAAGCUGCGAUAAGCUUCGGGGAGUUGCACGUAAACUUUGAUCCGAAGAUUUCCGAAUGAGGAAACUCACUUAGAGUAAUGUCUAAGUAUCAUUAAGUGAAUACAUAGCUUAAUGAGGGGAACUCAGGGAACUGAAACAUCUAAGUACCUGAAGGAAGAGAAAGAAAUUCGAUUCCGUAAGUAGCGGCGAGCGAACGCGGAUUAGCCCAAACCAAUAAAGUUUUCUUUAUUGGGGUUGCGGACAUAUCAUAACGAAGAGGUAUCGUAAUUGAAGAGGUUUGGAAAGACCCACCACAGAAGGUAAUAGUCCUGUAUGUUAAACGAGAAGACUUUAGAUAUGAUCCAGAGUACCACGGGACACGUGAAACCCUGUGGGAAGCAGGAGGGACCACCCUCCAAGGCUAAAUACUACCUAGUGACCGAUAGCGUAUAGUACCGUGAGGGAAAGGUGAAAAGAACCCCGGGAGGGGAGUGAAAUAGAACCUGAAACCCUGCACUUACAAGCUGUGGAAGCACAUUUCUUGUGUGACCGCGUACUUUUUGUAGAACGGGCCAACGAGUUACGUUAAGUAGCAAGGUUAAGCACUUAAGGUGCGGAGCCGUAGCGAAAGCGAGUUUUAACUGAGCGUUCAGUUACUUGACGUAGACCCGAAACCGGGCGACCUACCCAUGAGCAGGAUGAAGCGAAAGUAAAAUUUCGUGGAGGUCCGAACCCACGAGCGUUGAAAAGCUCGGGGAUGACUUGUGGGUAGCGGUGAAAUUCCAAUCGAGCCCGGAGAUAGCUGGUUCUCCCCGAAAUAGCUUUAGGGCUAGCCUCAAGGUGAGAGAUACGGAGGUAGAGCACUGAAUGUCCUAGGGGGUAUUGCACCUACCGAAGACUAUCAAACUCCGAAUGCCGUCAUCUUAUACUUGGGAGUCAGACUGUGGGUGAUAAGAUUCAUAGUCGAAAGGGCAACAGCCCAGAUCGUCAGCUAAGGUCCCUAAAUGUAAGUUAAGUGGUAAAGGAUGUGGGAUUGCACAGACAACCAGGAUGUUGGCUUAGAAGCAGCCACUCAUUCAAAGAGUGCGUAAUAGCUCACUGGUCGAGUGAUCCUGCGCCGAAGAUUUCCGGGGCUAAAACUUACUACCGAAGCUACGGCAUCAGUAAUGAUGGGUAGGGGAGCUUCCCAUACGGGUUGAAGCAUGACCGUAAGGACAUGUGGACAGUAUGGGAGUGAGAAUGUUGGCAUGAGUAGCGAGAUGUGGGUGAGAAUCCCACAGGCCGUAAACCCAAGGUUUCCAGGGGAAGGUUCGUCCGCCCUGGGUUAGUCGGGACCUAAGCUGAGGCCGAAAGGCGUAGGUGAUGGACAACAGGUUGAUAUUCCUGUACUACCGAUAACCGUUUGAGAGAAGGGAUGACACAGUAGGAUAAGCUAAGCACACUGUUGGUUAUGUGUGCCCAAGCAUUGAGGCAGUCAAAGUAGGCAAAUCCGCUUUGAUAAUGCUGGGAUGUGAUGGGGAGCGAAAUUUAGUAGCGAAGUAGCUGAUUUCACACUGUCAAGAAAAGUCUCUAUCGAGGUUAAAGGUACCCGUACCGCAAACCGACACAGGUGGGUGAGGAGAGUAUCCUAAGGCCAGCGAGAGAACUGUUGUUAAGGAACUCGGCAAAAUGACCCCGUAACUUAGGGAUAAGGGGUGCCACCAUCAGGUGGCCGCAGAGAAUAGGCCCAAGCGACUGUUUACCAAAAACAUAGGUUUCUGCUAAGUCGCAAGACGAUGUAUAGGAGCUGACGCCUGCCCGGUGCUGGAAGGUUAAGGGGAUCUGUUAGAGCAAUCGAAGCAGUGAACUUAAGCCCCAGUAAACGGCGGCCGUAACUAUAACGGUCCUAAGGUAGCGAAAUUCCUUGUCGGGUAAGUUCCGACCCGCACGAAAGGCGUAACGAUUUGGGCACUGUCUCAACAACAGACUCGGUGAAAUUGUAAUUCCGGUGAAGAUGCCGGAUACCUGCGACAGGACGGAAAGACCCCAUGGAGCUUUACUGUAGCUUGACAUUGGGUCUUGGUACUACAUGUACAGGAUAGGUGGGAGGCUUUGAAACCAGGACGCCAGUUUUGGCGGAGCCAUCCUUGGGAUACCACCCUUGUAGUACUGGGACUCUAACCAUAGGCCAUGAAUCUGGUCUUGGGACACUGUCAGGUGGGCAGUUUGACUGGGGCGGUCGCCUCCCAAAAGGUAACGGAGGCGCUCAAAGGUUCUCUCAGUACGGUCGGAAAUCGUACGUAGAGUGUAAAGGCAAAAGAGAGCUUGAUUGCAAGACAUACAGGUCGAGCAAGGAUGAAAAUCGGACUUAGUGAUCCGGUGGUUCUGCGUGGAAGGGCCAUCGCUCAACGGAUAAAAGCUACCCUGGGGAUAACAGGCUUAUCUCCCCCAAGAGUCCACAUCGACGGGGAGGUUUGGCACCUCGAUGUCGGCUCAUCACAUCCUGGGGCUGUAGUAGGUCCCAAGGGUUGGGCUGUUCGCCCAUUAAAGUGGUACGCGAGCUGGGUUCAGAACGUCGUG
This 2601-nucleotide ribosomal RNA is filed under the name Clostridioides difficile. RNAcentral's name for it is "bacterial LSU rRNA". It matches the Rfam family "Bacterial large subunit ribosomal RNA", at positions 1 to 2623 of the family's 2925-position model. Lineage: Bacteria; Bacillati; Bacillota; Clostridia; Peptostreptococcales; Peptostreptococcaceae. The record is from RNAcentral.